UGAGAUCAUGACCUGAGCCAAAAUCAAGAGUCAGAAGUUCAACCAACUGAGUCACCCAGGCACCCCCAGCUAUGACCAAACUCUGCUUCCUCUCCCUUUGGUCUUUGCUGAAAUGCUUCCCUGUCAAUAUGCAGCCCUCUCUCUGGAGAUCCCUUUGGACUUCUGUGCAUCUGCCUGAUUACAUUUGCCCUACAGAGCCUUGACACCCCCAAGUAGAAGACACCACAAACAAUUCAAGACAUAAAGCAAAAACUCGCAUGCCAGAGAUGAGUAAUAAUGUGAGCGAAAUGGUGGACAGGCAGCCCUAAGCUAUUGUCCCUCCACAGAAACCAUAGAAAACAAGCAGAAACUGUCAAAACUGUGUCAGAACUCUGGAAAACAUUAAAAGAUUUAUAGCAACCAUGGAAACACUGGUUCAAGAAAAAGAAAAUUGAAAAAUGCUAGGAAAGCUUUGUGGUAUUUUCAUUUACCCUUGCCCACACUCUUUCUAGCCUGGCAGAAGUCUUGAAAAUGGCAACCUGCAUUCUCAUUGUGGGACCUCAGUCCCUGAGGAAGCAGAGCGGAUGUGGGGCAAGAAAAGUUACUGUUGAGACAUACAAUAGACCAUCUAAAGACUCACAGGGAAAGUUGGGGUAAGCGUCUUUGGGAAAUUAAGGAAUUUAAAAGCAGCUACAUACACCGGGGAACUUAAAAACCACACCCAUGUACAGGGAAAGAUGCAUGCUCAGAAAAGACCUGAGAAGACCCUAAUCUUUUGCUUUAUGUAGGAUAAACUCAGAUCCACAUCAAGGCACAUUAUAAUCAGUAAAAAGACAAAGACAAGGGACAAUCUGAAAGCAGCAAGAGAGAAGCACCUUUUCACAUACAAGGAAUUCUCGGAAGAUUAACAGCCAAAUUUUCAUAAAAAAUUAUAUAGGACAGAGGGCAGUGGGGUGGAAUAUUUAAAGUGCUGAAAGAAAAAAAUGUCAACCAAAAAAUUCUGAAUCCAGCAAAACUGUCCUUCAAAAAUGAGUGAGAAAUGAAGAUAAUUCUGCAUAAAUAAAAGCUGAGAGAGUCUGUUGCCA
Molecule: long non-coding RNA, 1064 nt
Filed under: Felis catus (domestic cat)
Lineage: Eukaryota; Metazoa; Chordata; Mammalia; Carnivora; Felidae
Description: lncRNA (ENSFCAG00000048752.1)
Source: RNAcentral